RNAcentral lists this ribosomal RNA (440 nucleotides) under uncultured bacterium. RNAcentral's name for it is "partial 16S ribosomal RNA". It matches the Rfam family "Bacterial small subunit ribosomal RNA", at positions 338 to 795 of the family's 1533-position model. The record is from RNAcentral.
CCUACGGGUGGCAGCAGUGGGGAAUAUUGCACAAUGGGGGAAACCCUGAUGCAGCGACGCCGCGUGAGUGAAGAAGUAUUUCGGUACGUAAAGCUCUAUCAGCAGGGAAGAAAAUGACGGUACCCGACAAAGAAGCCCCGGCCAACUAAGUGCCAGCAGGCGCGGUAAUACGUAGGGGGCAAGCGUUAUCCGGAUUUACUGGGUGUAAAGGGAGCGUAGACGGAAGCGCAAGUCAGGAGUGAAAUCCCAUGGCUUAACCAUGGAACUGCUUUUGAAACUGUGCAUCUAGAGUGCAGGAGAGGUAAGAGGAAUUCCUAGUGUAGCGGUGAAAUGCGUAGAUAUUAGGAGGAACACCAGUGGCGAAGGCGGCUUACUGGACUGAAACUGACGUUGAGGCUCGAAAGCGUGGGGAGCAAACAGGAUUAGAUACCCGAGUAGUC